UUGGACCUGAUAUCGGGCAAGACUACCCCUAAACUUAAGCAUAUCAAUAAGCGGGAGAAA
RNAcentral lists this ribosomal RNA (60 nucleotides) under Pythium insidiosum. RNAcentral describes it as "partial large subunit ribosomal RNA". Lineage: Eukaryota; Oomycota; Peronosporomycetes; Pythiales; Pythiaceae. The record is from RNAcentral.